RNAcentral lists this ribosomal RNA (590 nucleotides) under uncultured archaeon. RNAcentral describes it as "bacterial SSU rRNA". It matches the Rfam family "Archaeal small subunit ribosomal RNA", at positions 322 to 912 of the family's 1478-position model. The record is from RNAcentral.
CCUACGGGGCGCAGCAGGCGCGAAAACUUUACAAUGCUGGCAACAGCGAUAAGGGAACCUCGAGUGCCAGGUUACAAAUCUGGCUGUCGAGAUGCCUAAAAAGCAUUUCAUAGCAAGGGCCGGGCAAGACCGGUGCCAGCCGCCGCGGUAACACCGGCGGCUCGAGUGGUAACCGUUAUUAUUGGGUCUAAAGGGUCUGUAGCCGGCCGGAUAAGUCUCUUGAGAAAUCUGGCAGCUUAACUGUCAGGCUUUCAGGAGAUACUGUCUGGCUCGAGGCCGGGAGAGGUGAGAGGUACUUCAGGGGUAGGGGUGAAAUCUUGUAAUCCUUGAAGGACCACCAGUGGCGAAGGCGUCUCACCAGAACGGACCUGACGGCAAGGGACGAAAGCUAGGGGCACGAACCGGAUUAGAUACCCGGGUAGUCCUAGCCGUAAACGAUACUCGCUAGGUGUCGGCCACGGUGCGACCGUUGUCGGUGCCGUAGGGAAGCCGUGAAGCGAGCCACCUGGGAAGUACGGCCGCAAGGCUGAAACUUAAAGGAAUUGGCGGGGGAGCACCACAACGGGUGGAGCUUGCGGUUUAAUUGGAUU